Long non-coding RNA from Mus caroli (Ryukyu mouse), 407 nucleotides. RefSeq lists it as uncharacterized. NCBI's taxonomy places the organism in Eukaryota, Metazoa, Chordata, Mammalia, Rodentia, Muridae. The record is from RefSeq and is a predicted model, not a curated record.
GCCCCUGGGUUAUGGAGGAGACACGGAGAACCAAGGGGUAGCCCUCACUGGCUCAGGCCCCAGUAGUAUCAAAUGUUAGUGUCUGACUGGGCUCUUUCUCUAAACAGUGCCAUUGGAAAAGCUCAGGUCAGACAGACUUGGGACACUGUGGAGGCAGGACAGCCACACACCUUCUCAGAUGCAGGACUCUCGACUUCUCUCCAACACGUCUGCCUGCGUGCCACCAUGAGUAACAACCUCUGAACUGAAUUACAAGGAAACAAAACCAAGCAGACAACCCUGACAGAAUGUUCUCCAAUCUGCAAGUUUUACUAAGAAGUACCACGUGAGUGCAGACUCAGAACGCUGCCAUGUGAAAGUGGUGAGGGAGUGCACAUCGCAUCACUGGUAAAGUCUCCUAAGAAACC